RNAcentral lists this ribosomal RNA (217 nucleotides) under uncultured bacterium. RNAcentral's name for it is "partial 16S ribosomal RNA". It matches the Rfam family "Bacterial small subunit ribosomal RNA", at positions 111 to 334 of the family's 1533-position model. The record is from RNAcentral.
UAAUACAUCGGAACGUGCCCUGUAUGGGGGAUAACUAGUCGAAAGAUUAGCUAAUACCGCAUACGACCUGAGGGUGAAAUGGGGACCGCAAGGCCUCAUGCUAUAGGAGCGGCCGAUGUCUGAUUAGCUAGUUGGUGAGGUAAAGGCUCACCAAGGCGACGAUCAGUAGCUGGUCUGAGAGGACGAUCAGCCACACUGGGACUGAGACACGGCCCAG